GACCCGCUAGCUCAGCCGGUAGAGCAUUUGACUUUUAAUCAAAGGGUCCUGGGUUCGAAUCCCAGGCGGGUCACCA
This 76-nucleotide transfer RNA is filed under the name Petrotoga sp. 9PW.55.5.1. RNAcentral's name for it is "tRNA-Lys". It matches the Rfam family "tRNA". From Rfam's summary of the family: Transfer RNA (tRNA) molecules are approximately 80 nucleotides in length. Lineage: Bacteria; Thermotogati; Thermotogota; Thermotogae; Petrotogales; Petrotogaceae. RNAcentral also lists the same sequence under 1 other name. The record is from RNAcentral.